GACGAACGCUGGCGGCGUGCUUAACACAUGCAAGUCGAACGGAAAGGCCCUGCUUUUGUGGGGUGCUCGAGUGGCGAACGGGUGAGUAACACGUGAGUAACCUGCCCUUGACUUUGGGAUAACUUCAGGAAACUGGGGCUAAUACCGGAUAGUAGCUCCUGCUGCAUGGUGGGGGUUGGAAAGUUUCGGCGGUUGGGGAUGGACUCGCGGCUUAUCAUCUUGUUGGUGGGGUAGUGGCUUACCAAGGCUUUGACGGGUAGCCGGCCUGAGAGGGUGACCGGCCACAUUGGGACUGAGAUACGGCCCAGACUCCUACGGGAGGCAGCAGUGGGGAAUAUUGCACAAUGGGCGGAAGCCUGAUGCAGCAACGCCGCGUGCGGGAUGACGGCCUUCGGGUUGUAAACCGCUUUCGCCUGUGACGAAGCGUGAGUGACGGUAAUGGGUAAAGAAGCACCGGCUAACUACGUG
This 468-nucleotide ribosomal RNA is filed under the name uncultured bacterium. RNAcentral's name for it is "partial 16S ribosomal RNA". It matches the Rfam family "Bacterial small subunit ribosomal RNA", at positions 28 to 507 of the family's 1533-position model. The record is from RNAcentral.